UCCAGCAGCCAUAUCACCCUGGAGCUCUCAACUGGCUACCCACUGAGGCUAAGCAGGGUUGAGCCUGGUCAAUACCUAGAUGAGAAACCUCUGGGGAAACUGUGGUUGCUGCUGGAA
This 117-nucleotide ribosomal RNA is filed under the name Lepisosteus oculatus (spotted gar). The record is from RNAcentral. Lineage: Eukaryota; Metazoa; Chordata; Actinopteri; Semionotiformes; Lepisosteidae.